GAUGAACGCUGGCGGCGUGCUUAACACAUGCAAGUCGAACGAAGCACUUUAUUUGAUUUCCUUCGGGACUGAUUAUUUUGUGACUGAGUGGCGGACGGGUGAGUAACGCGUGGGUAACCUGCCUUGUACAGGGGGAUAACAGGUGGAAACGGCUGCUAAUACCGCAUAAGCGCACAGCAUCGCAUGAUGCAGUGUGAAAAACUCCGGUGGUAUAAGAUGGACCCGCGUUGGAUUAGCUAGUUGGUGAGGUAACGGCCCACCAAGGCGACGAUCCAUAGCCGACCUGAGAGGGUGACCGGCCACAUUGGGACUGAGACACGGCCCAAACUCCUACGGGAGGCAGCAGUGGGGAAUAUUGCACAAUGGGCGAAAGCCUGAUGCAGCGACGCCGCGUGAGCGAAGAAGUAUUUCGGUAUGUAAAGCUCUAUCAGCAGGGAAGAUAAUGACGGUACCUGACUAAGAAGCACCGGCUAAAUACGUG
Molecule: ribosomal RNA, 481 nt
Filed under: uncultured bacterium
Lineage: Bacteria
Description: partial 16S ribosomal RNA
Rfam family: Bacterial small subunit ribosomal RNA
Source: RNAcentral